This 1176-nucleotide long non-coding RNA is filed under the name Suricata suricatta (meerkat). Its description in RNAcentral is "lncRNA (ENSSSUG00005003395.1)". The record is from RNAcentral. Lineage: Eukaryota; Metazoa; Chordata; Mammalia; Carnivora; Herpestidae.
AUGGGAAGCCUACAUAUUACAUUAUGUGAAUGUCCAUUCUCCGAAAUUAAAAAAAACAAUAAAAACAAAAAAAACUGAGAAACGGGGGAGGAGGGGUGGGCAUAAAACCAAAGAGAGUAAACCUUGCCCUCCAGAUAAUCUCAUCCACAGGCCAGAGAAUUCCCUAGAGCUUCAACUGCAAGGUGCCCCAUUCACACAAAGAGCUCAAAUCCAGGAACCUGGCUCAACUACUUUGAGAAAAGGACAUAAAGAGAUCCCAAAUAAUGGCGUGUCAAAGCACGAAGUGUUCUGCUUCACCACCACCCAGGAACCAAAGCAAACCCAAGAGCCCAGCCAACAUUCACGAAGAUGCAGUCAGUGCAACAGUUGGCACUGUUUUCUGUCACCUUCCUUUCACUUCAAUGAUGCUGAGCCGAAGUCAACACAGAUGUUCUCCCAUCCAGCAAUCCCUAUUUGCAGAAAGCUGUAUUCUUCUGAGGUUCCUCACCAAACACUGGACGUCAGGAAAACAUUCAGGAAAAUUAUUCAGCUUUGAUGGCAUUCCUACUUCAUCUCUCCCUCUGCCCCCAGCGAAGAGCUCUGAACUCCUGUUGCAGGGCCUCACUAAGCAUCACACACAGCUGAGUGGCCGAUUCUCUCAAGUCCUAGGUUCCUCCUUCCAACUGGCUAGACCUUGUCUAAGGCCACAGAGACACGGGUGGGUGUGAGGAGAACCUGAACCAGACUCCGAAUGUCUGUCUUUCUAGAGAAAAGACUCCUGAACUUACGAGUAAGGCCUCCCACUCUACUCAUACCUUCAAAAUGGACAACAAUAAUAAAUAAUCCUCUUUCUUUGCCUUUUUUUUUCUAUCCACAAUGGGAGAGCGGUGGAAAUAUCUGGGGGGCGGGGAAGAGGGGAAAAAUAAAAAGUGUAGAAAGGCAUCACUUUGAGGGGUAAAACUGCUGGAGAAGGAAGUAACCUGAAGUUUCAGUUGGUGGCAACCCACCUCCCCAGCAGUCAAUUUAUUACCAUAUGAAGAUGUUGGGAACUUAAUCACAGGGCUGACAUGUGUACAAACUCCAGGCACUGGACUCAGCAUAAAAUUCACUCUCAGAAAAUGAUAAUAAUUGGGAGACCACACACUUGAAAUGUACCACUAAAAAGGGAGGGCAAUCAUUUGAGGGCCACAACCCAAC